This 253-nucleotide ribosomal RNA is filed under the name uncultured bacterium. RNAcentral describes it as "partial 16S ribosomal RNA". It matches the Rfam family "Bacterial small subunit ribosomal RNA", at positions 524 to 776 of the family's 1533-position model. The record is from RNAcentral.
UACGAAGGGGGCUAGCGUUGUUCGGAUUUCCUGGGCGUAAAGCGCACGUAGGCGGAUCGUUAAGUCGGGGGUGAAAUCCUGGAGCUCACCUCCAGAACUGCCUUCGAUACUGGCGAUCUUGAGUCCGGAAGAGGUGAGUGGAACUCCUAGUGUAGAGGUGGAAUUCGUAGAUAUUAGGAAGAACACCAGUGGCGAAGGCGGCUCACUGGUCCGGUACUGACGCUGAGGUGCGAAAGCGUGGGGAGCAAACAGG